Molecule: ribosomal RNA, 339 nt
Filed under: uncultured bacterium
Lineage: Bacteria
Description: bacterial SSU rRNA
Rfam family: Bacterial small subunit ribosomal RNA
Source: RNAcentral
GACGAACGCUGGCGGCGUGCCUAAUACAUGCAAGUCGAGCGAGCUUGCCUAGAUGAUUUUAGUGCUUGCACUAAAUGAGACUAGAUACAAGCGAGCGGCGGACGGGUGAGUAACACGUGGGUAACCUGCCCAAGAGACUGGGAUAACACCUGGAAACAGAUGCUAAUACCGGAUAACAACACUAGACGCAUGUCUAGAGUUUGAAAGAUGGUUCUGCUAUCACUCUUGGAUGGACCUGCGGUGCAUUAGGUAGAUGGUGAGGUAACGGCCCACCAUGCCGACGAUUGGUAGCCGGACUGAGAGGUUGAACGGCCACAAGGGGACUGAGACACGGCCCUU